This 76-nucleotide transfer RNA is filed under the name bacterium. RNAcentral describes it as "tRNA-Gly". It matches the Rfam family "tRNA". Rfam says of the family: Transfer RNA (tRNA) molecules are approximately 80 nucleotides in length. Their secondary structure includes four short double-helical elements and three loops (D, anti-codon, and T loops). Further hydrogen bonds mediate the characteristic L-shaped molecular structure. tRNAs have two regions of fundamental functional importance: the anti-codon, which is responsible for specific mRNA codon recognition, and the 3' end, to which the tRNAs corresponding amino acid is attached (by aminoacyl-tRNA synthetases). tRNAs cope with the degeneracy of the genetic code in two manners: having more than one tRNA (with a specific anti-codon) for a particular amino acid; and 'wobble' base-pairing, i.e. permitting non-standard base-pairing at the 3rd anti-codon position. The record is from RNAcentral. RNAcentral also lists the same sequence under 7 other names.
GCACGAGUAGCUCAGUUGGUAGAGCAUCACGUUGCCAACGUGAGGGUCGCCAGUUCGAAUCUGGUCUCGUGCUCCA